AACGAACGCUGGCGGCAGGCCUAACACAUGCCAGUCGAGCGCGCCCUUCGGGGUGAGCGGCGGACGGGGGAGUCACGCGUGGGAACGUGCCCUUUUCUACGGAAUAGCCUCGGUAAACUGAGAAUAAUACCGGAUACGCCCCUUUGGGGAAGGAUUUAUCGGAAAAGGAUCGGCCCGCGUUGGAUUAGGUAGUUGGUGGGGUAAUGGCCUACCAAGCCGACGAUCCAUAGCUGGGUAGAGAGGAUGAUCAGCCACACUGGGACUGAGACACGGCCCAGACUCAUACGGGAGGCAGCAGUGGGGAAUCUUAGACAAUGGGGGCAAUCCUGAUCUAGCCAUGCCGCGUGAGUGAUGAAGGCCUUAGGGUUGUAAAGCUCUUUCAGCUGGGAAGAUAAUGACGGUACCAGCAGAAGAAGCCCCGGCUAACUCCGUG
RNAcentral lists this ribosomal RNA (433 nucleotides) under uncultured bacterium. RNAcentral's name for it is "partial 16S ribosomal RNA". It matches the Rfam family "Bacterial small subunit ribosomal RNA", at positions 29 to 507 of the family's 1533-position model. The record is from RNAcentral.